RNA transcript from Mesoplodon densirostris (Blainville's beaked whale), 2193 nucleotides. RefSeq lists it as uncharacterized. The record is from RefSeq and is a predicted model, not a curated record. NCBI's taxonomy places the organism in Eukaryota, Metazoa, Chordata, Mammalia, Artiodactyla, Ziphiidae. The transcript has 7 exons.
UGUAAGUCAUAUGGACCCCGCCUCACAUCGGGGGCCACCUGCCUGGGGCAGGUGGCAGAGAUUUGGAUGCAGGUGUAUCUGAGUCUGCCUGCACCCGUAGGCGAGAUGCACAGGCCAGACCUUCUCCCUCCUUGGUUGUGUCCAUCUUGAUCUGUGACAUCAAAGCAAGAGGAAGUGAAUGCUACCUCCUGUGUUGGGGAGAGCUGGAGCUGGCGGUUUGGUGGUAGGAAGUGAAAAAAUCUCAGGUGCACUCCACGGAUCACAGGGCUGAUGGAGAGGGGGGUGGGUUAGGAGGGGACCUGAACUAAGCAGUCCAGGACGCACCCCCUCAGCGGCUGGGGUGGAUGGUGGGGUCGGCCACUGACCAAGUAGGAGAGGGAAAAGAGAAGCAGAUUUCAGGGUGGGAGGGAAGAAGCUGCGUGCCAAUCCGGAUGUGCUGAGCGUGAGAUGCCCAGGAAACGUCCCCUGGGGACACUUAGAUGUGGGUCUGUAACUCAAGGGACUUGGGGUUAGUUAAGUCAGUUCUAGGUUGGGACUAAGAAGUGGGUAAGAUGUCCAAGAAGGUAUGGUAAAGACAGGACCCUCAUGAGGAGAGGAGACAGGAUAGAAGCGGGAGAGGAAGUCAGAGGAGCGUGAAAAGUCCGGGGCUAGAGGAGUUGGGGGCAGAAAGAACUCCUGCGGCCUUGUCUACAGACGGUGAGGAGGAGGGGAGCAGCCAGGAUGGGAGGUACUGGAGUCCGGCCAGGGGCCGAGCGCCUUAAAGAAGUUGUGAGAGUUGACGUGGCCACGGGCGGGACCCCGGGGUGUGGGCCUCCGCCCGGGGUACCUGUGUCCCACCGGCCGCCCCGUCGAAGCGUGACGGCGCAUGCGCAGAGCGGCCGGCAUUGUCACGUGCGGCCGUCUCGCGCGGAUUGGCCCGCGGUCUCCCGAGACUGGCCGGAGUUGUCGGUGCGGCGGCGCGCGCGGAGAGAGCCUGCGUAGGCGUGGCGGAAGGGGGACAAAGGCAGCCAGGCAGCCCGGCAGCCGAAGCCCUCGAGAAUGGAGGUUCUGGACGAGUUCGACAGCGAGUUCCCCCAGAGUGUGACCUUCUGCCAGCUCAUCUCCGAGGAGGACUUCGAGAGGCAGGUGGCGACCUACACUGAGCGCGCGCUCCGCCUCCUCUUCCGCAGCCUCGACCGCAGCCCGGCGCUGGCCGAGAAGGUGGCCAAGGUCUCGUGUGCCGUCCAGGGGGAGCUGAACUGUUGCAACAGCAUGGGCGCCCUGGAGAUGCACCAGCGCCUGGAGCAGCUCAAGAGGCGCAUCCACCGCGUGUACUUAUACUCCCAGAAUGCCAAGAAGAAGAGAAGCAAGCCAAAACCGAAAACCAGAACCCAUCCUCUUGCGGGACCGGUCGACCUUCCCGUGUCUGCCACCAACCCUGCUGCCACCGCCUGCCACCACCAUGGCCUCCAUGGUGGCCCCAUCAACCUCUGUCUACACCCUGCCCAGGGUCUUUGGCCCCUUCCCUCCGCUGCCCAGCACGUCGGUCAGUGGCCCUGGGAGGGGCAGCCUCUAACCCCCUGCUCAGAAGCACCCCAGCGAUGCCCGGUCCCACAGCAGUGGUUCCCAGAACUUUCUCUGCAGGCAGCAGUAGAUAGAUGAAAGGGGGCUGCUCUGCUCGCAGAGUCGGGCUGGGGGAGGCACAGGGCUCCGCCUGCCUGGCCUCAGUGAACUUGGCGCAAUUCCGGGAUUCCCAGGAGACGCCUGAAGCCUGCCUCUCCCCGUGUGUGUCAUUCUCCAGGCUGCCCUAUGGAGCAAUUGGAAGUUUCGAGGUCUGAAGCAAAAUUGAACUGGACCGGCCUGUCAUCGAACCCGAAGAGCCACGUAGUCGAUCUGACCCCCUUGGUCUUCAAUCCUGGAGGCUUCCACUUCUCGUACUUGGCCAGGAACAAUGCACACAAGCUCCACUGCCCUGGCUUCCCCUGGCCCUCAGCCUGUAGUGGUUCUGCCAGCACCGAGGAGAUGCUAUCCCCAUCUGUGAAGGCCUCCAUCUUCACCCCACCUGUCCUGCUCAAGUUCCAGCCUGUGCCCAGACGCAAAGAUGACUCAGAGAAUGACUCUGGCAGCACAGAGUCCACGCCCUACCAGAGGGACCCAUAACCUCUUCUGUACAGACCACGGCAGGAGAAUGAAUAAAGUUCCCCUGGUGGUGCC